GAUGAACGCUGGCGGCGUGCCUAAUACAUGCAAGUCGAGCGAACGGACGAGAAGCUUGCUUCUCUGAUGUUUGCGGCGGACGGGUGAGUAACACGUGGAUAACCUACCUAUAAGACUGGGAUAACUUCGGGAAACCGGAGCUAAUACCGGAUAAUAUUUUGAACCGCAUGGUUCAAAAGUGAAAGACGGUCUUGCUGUCACUUAUAGAUGGAUCCGCGCUGCAUUAGCUAGUUGGUAAGGUAACGGCUUACCAAGGCAACGAUGCAUAGCCGACCUGAGAGGGUGAUCGGCCACACUGGAACUGAGACACGGUCCAGACUCCUACGGGAGGCAGCAGUAGGGAAUCUUCCGCAAUGGGCGAGAGCCUGACGGAGCAACGCCGCGUGAGUGAUGAAGGUCUUCGGAUCGUAAAACUCUGUUAUUAGGGAAGAACAUAUGUGUAAGUAACUGUGCACAUCUUGACGGUACCUAAUCAGAAAGCCACGGCUAACUACGUGCCAGCAGCCGCGGUAAUACGUAGGUGGCAAGCGUUAUCCGGAAUUAUUGGGCGUAAAGCGCGCGUAGGCGGUUUUUUAAGUCUGAUGUGAAAGCCCACGGCUCAACCGUGGAGGGUCAUUGGAAACUGGAAAACUUGAGUGCAGAAGAGGAAAGUGGAAUUCCAUGUGUAGCGGUGAAAUGCGCAGAGAUAUGGAGGAACACCAGUGGCGAAGGCGACUUUCUGGUCUGUAACUGACGCUGAUGUGCGAAAGCGUGGGGAUCAAACAGGAUUAGAUACCCUGGUAGUCCACGCCGUAAACGAUGAGUGCUAAGUGUUAGGGGGUUUCCGCCCCUUAGUGCUGCAGCUAACGCAUUGAGCACUCCGCCUGGGGAGUACGACCGCAAGGUUGAAACUCAAAGGAAUUGACGGGGACCCGCACAAGCGGUGGAGCAUGUGGUUUAAUUCGAAGCAACGCGAAGAACCUUACCAAAUCUUGACAUCCUUUGACAACUCUAGAGAUAGAGCUUUCCCCUUCGGGGGACAAAGUGACAGGUGGUGCAUGGUUGUCGUCAGCUCGUGUCGUGAGAUGUUGGGUUAAGUCCCGCAACGAGCGCAACCCUUAAGCUUAGUUGCCAUCAUUAAGUUGGGCACUCUAAGUUGACUGCCGGUGACAAACCGGAGGAAGGUGGGGAUGACGUCAAAUCAUCAUGCCCCUUAUGAUUUGGGCUACACACGUGCUACAAUGGACAAUACAAAGGGCAGCGAAACCGCGAGGUCAAGCAAAUCCCAUAAAGUUGUUCUCAGUUCGGAUUGUAGUCUGCAACUCGACUACAUGAAGCUGGAAUCGCUAGUAAUCGUAGAUCAGCAUGCUACGGUGAAUACGUUCCCGGGUCU
Molecule: ribosomal RNA, 1372 nt
Filed under: uncultured bacterium
Lineage: Bacteria
Description: bacterial SSU rRNA
Rfam family: Bacterial small subunit ribosomal RNA
Source: RNAcentral